This 405-nucleotide long non-coding RNA is filed under the name Anas platyrhynchos platyrhynchos (common mallard). RNAcentral's name for it is "lncRNA (ENSAPLG00000016743.1)". The record is from RNAcentral. Lineage: Eukaryota; Metazoa; Chordata; Aves; Anseriformes; Anatidae.
AUGCUUACUGCUGGCAAAGCGCGACCUGCCCGCAGGCGCCCUUACGCAACAUGUCCGGCGGGGCGGAAGGCGGGGAGGGGGCGUGGCCAUGCGGCGAGGCCCCGCCCCCCGCGGCCGGUGUGGGCGGGGCCUCCGCUUCCUGCCCGUGGGGGCCGGGCGGGUGCCCGCGCCCCAGGCGCUCGGCCCCGCCCCGCCCGCGGGGUGUCCGCGCCCCGCCCGCAGCAUGCAGGGCGCCGCCGCCAUCCCCGGGGACGUCCGCGGCCUCCUGGCAGAUGUCGACACGUUUAUUUCUCAAACCCUAAAAGGAGAAAAUCUGUCCAAGAAAGCAAAAGAAAAAAAAGGAUGUUCUUCUUAAGAAGAUAAAAGAGGUUAAGGCAAGUUACCCUCAAGAAUUCCAGGAUAAAG